UAGCUCAGUUGGUAGAUAGAGCAUGGUGUUUGCAACACCAGGGUUGUGGGUUCGAUUCCCAC
Molecule: transfer RNA, 62 nt
Filed under: Salmo salar (Atlantic salmon)
Lineage: Eukaryota; Metazoa; Chordata; Actinopteri; Salmoniformes; Salmonidae
Rfam family: tRNA
About the family: Transfer RNA (tRNA) molecules are approximately 80 nucleotides in length. Their secondary structure includes four short double-helical elements and three loops (D, anti-codon, and T loops).
Source: Rfam by way of RNAcentral